CCGGCGCACGGUGAGUAACGCGUAUGCAACUUACCUAUCAGGAGGGGAGAACCCGGCGAAAGUCGGACUAAUACCGCAUAAAGCAGGGAUCCCGCAUGGGAAUAUUUGCUAAAGAUUCAUCGCUGAUAGAUAGGCAUGCGUUCCAUUAGGCAGUUGGCGGGGUAACGGCCCACCAAACCGACGAUGGAUAGGGGUUCUGAGAGGAAGGUCCCCCGCAUUGGUACUGAGACACGGACCAA
RNAcentral lists this ribosomal RNA (239 nucleotides) under uncultured bacterium. RNAcentral describes it as "partial 16S ribosomal RNA". It matches the Rfam family "Bacterial small subunit ribosomal RNA", at positions 95 to 334 of the family's 1533-position model. The record is from RNAcentral.